RNAcentral lists this ribosomal RNA (254 nucleotides) under uncultured bacterium. Its description in RNAcentral is "partial 16S ribosomal RNA". It matches the Rfam family "Bacterial small subunit ribosomal RNA", at positions 524 to 776 of the family's 1533-position model. The record is from RNAcentral.
UACGUAGGGACCAAGCGUUGUUCGGAUUUACUGGGCGUAAAGGGCGCGUAGGCGGCCAGCACAAGUCAGUUGUGAAAUCUCCGGGCUUAACUCGGAAAGGUCAACUGAUACUGUGCGGCUAGAGUGCAGAAGGGGCAACUGGAAUUCUCGGUGUAGCGGUGAAAUGCGUAGAUAUCGAGAGGAACACCUGCGGCGAAGGCGGGUUGCUGGGCUGACACUGACGCUGAUGCGCGAAAGCCAGGGGAGCGAACGGG